This 90-nucleotide transfer RNA is filed under the name Luteitalea sp. RNAcentral's name for it is "tRNA-Ser". It matches the Rfam family "tRNA". Rfam says of the family: Transfer RNA (tRNA) molecules are approximately 80 nucleotides in length. Their secondary structure includes four short double-helical elements and three loops (D, anti-codon, and T loops). Further hydrogen bonds mediate the characteristic L-shaped molecular structure. tRNAs have two regions of fundamental functional importance: the anti-codon, which is responsible for specific mRNA codon recognition, and the 3' end, to which the tRNAs corresponding amino acid is attached (by aminoacyl-tRNA synthetases). tRNAs cope with the degeneracy of the genetic code in two manners: having more than one tRNA (with a specific anti-codon) for a particular amino acid; and 'wobble' base-pairing, i.e. permitting non-standard base-pairing at the 3rd anti-codon position. Lineage: Bacteria; Pseudomonadati; Acidobacteriota; Vicinamibacteria; Vicinamibacterales; Vicinamibacteraceae. The record is from RNAcentral.
GGAGGGAUGGCCGAGCGGUCGAAGGCGGCGGUCUUGAAAAUCGCUGUAGGGGUAACUCUACCGGGGGUUCGAAUCCCUCUCCCUCCGCCA